This 474-nucleotide ribosomal RNA is filed under the name uncultured organism. RNAcentral's name for it is "partial 16S ribosomal RNA". It matches the Rfam family "Bacterial small subunit ribosomal RNA", at positions 332 to 797 of the family's 1533-position model. The record is from RNAcentral.
UACACUCCUACGGGAGGCAGCAGUGGGGAAUAUUGCACAAUGGGCGCAAGCCUGAUGCAGCCAUGCCGCGUGUAUGAAGAAGGCCUUCGGGUUGUAAAGUACUUUCAGCGGGGAGGAAGGCGAUAAGGUUAAUAACCUUGUUGAUUGACGUUACCCGCAGAAGAAGCACCGGCUAACUCCGUGCCAGCAGCCGCGGUAAUACGGAGGGUGCAAGCGUUAAUCGGAAUUACUGGGCGUAAAGCGCACGCAGGCGGUCUGUCAAGUCGGAUGUGAAAUCCCCGGGCUCAACCUGGGAACUGCAUUCGAAACUGGCAGGCUAGAGUCUUGUAGAGGGGGGUAGAAUUCCAGGUGUAGCGGUGAAAUGCGUAGAGAUCUGGAGGAAUACCGGUGGCGAAGGCGGCCCCCUGGACAAAGACUGACGCUCAGGUGCGAAAGCGUGGGGAGCAAACAGGAUUAGAAACCCCAGUAGUCCCA